GCGUGCCCCGCCGCCGCCGCCGCCGCCACCGGUCGCCGCCCUCGGCCGCUGCCCCCUCUCCCGGGCUCCCCACCUCUCGACCCCCGCCACCGCCGCCCCUCCGACCCCCGUCGUCUGCUCCGCCCCGCCGCCACAGUUGCUAGGGUUGGGGUUGGAGAGGAGGGACGGCCGAAGGAUCCAGGCGUGCGGUCGGGCAAAGGAGCACGGGCGCGGGUGCGGCGGCGGCGGGCGACGGCCGGCGCAUCCAGGCCUGCGGCCAGGCGAUGGAGCGCGGGCGAGGCGGGCGCGGGUGCGGCGGCGGCGGAGCUCCACUGCAGGCGUCGCUGGCGUUCGCACUUCGCAGCGGCGGGGCUCCGUUGCGGCCGCCGAAGUUGGGGUGCCAGCAGAGGUCGCCUGCAGGCCCCUGCGGCUGCUCACGGCCCCGUGGACAGUCGACCCUCUGCUCCCGCCGCCUCUGUGCGUGGCGCCACCGCUGUUUUCUCUUUCCGUUGAUGGUCUGAGGAAAGGGGCAGGCAGUGGAGCUCAGCUGGAGGCUGCGGCUGGGGCAAAAGGGGCAGGCGGCGGAGCUCAGUGGUGGGGUGGGCGGCGGAGUUCGGAUGGAGGGCACAACUGCUACGUGUAAUCUCCAGUUUGCCUUGCUAACGUAUAUGCAGUUAUAUAAGGUCUUGUAAUCAAUUAUAAGUAUAUGAUCAGUGCAACAUAGGUAGAUGAUCAGUGCAACAUAACGUUCAUGUUCAGAAUUUGUUGUGUGCAGCCAAGCCACUUUUGCUCUCUCCUUGAAGGCAGCUGGGUAUUUGGACUUUGCAAUUCAUCUUGCAUGCGGCCUCCAAUUGCAUAUGGGUAUAUGAUAUAAUUUCGAGGAUCGUAUUCCUACUGCUCUAAAGAGGGUUAUAUCUCUUCAUGGUGCCUAAAAUACAAAUUGGUAUUUCUCUCACCAGAUAACAUAGCAGCGCUUGAUAUCUUAUAUGAAAAAUAUCUUGAUUUUUUUCUA
Panicum virgatum (switchgrass) is the source of this 991-nucleotide long non-coding RNA. RefSeq lists it as uncharacterized. Lineage: Eukaryota; Viridiplantae; Streptophyta; Magnoliopsida; Poales; Poaceae. The transcript has 2 exons. The record is from RefSeq and is a predicted model, not a curated record.